This 2241-nucleotide ribosomal RNA is filed under the name Triticum aestivum (bread wheat). RNAcentral describes it as "partial small subunit ribosomal RNA". The record is from RNAcentral. Lineage: Eukaryota; Viridiplantae; Streptophyta; Magnoliopsida; Poales; Poaceae.
AUGGGAGGCUGCUACUGCUUGUUCCCCUGCUUGCUCAUCUGCUUUCUGCUCCACACACAUGGCAGCCACUCCCUGAACCAGACAUGCAACUCCACUGACCUGGAGGCGCUUCUCGCCUUUUCCAGUGGCUUGGAUAGGAAAGGCAGCAGGCUUGUUGGAUGGGCUCCCAACGAUGCAGCGUGCUGUUCCUGGACCGGCGUCUCUUGUGAUCUUGGGAGGGUUGUUGGGCUGGAUCUCUCCAACAAGAACCUUCAUGGCGGCAUCUCCUCCGCGAUCUCCUUGCUUGAUGGCCUUGUUACUCUAAACCUCUCCCACAACUCUCUCGGUGGCCAGCCACCGGAGGAUCUUGGCCAGUUAGCAAGGAUGUGGAUUCUCGACCUCAGCAUGAACGUGCUCUCCGGCGCGUUCCCGACGAGUGAACAUGGCUUCCCGGCGAUUGAGGUGGUGAAUGUAUCCUUCAACCAAUUCAAGGGACCGCACCCUGUGUUCCCCGUCGCGAUGAAUCUGAUGGUUCUUGAUAUCUCGAGCAAUGCGUUCUCUGGUAGCAUCAACACCACGGCACUCUGUGUUGCGCCGGUCAAGGCCCUGCGAUUUUCCAGGAAUGGGUUCAACAGUGAGAUCCUUGCAGGCUUUGGCCGGUGCAGGAUGCUCACUGAGCUCUCUAUUGAUGGCAGUGGCCUCACUGGGAAUCUCCUCAGUGACCUGUACACUUUAUCAGAGUUGAGGAGGCUGAGCUUACGGGAAAAUCAGCUCUCUGGUGGUCUUAGCGAGUACCUGGGUAACUUCUCUCAGCUUAUGCAUAUUGACCUGUCAUAUAACUUGUUCACUGGAGUCAUUCCUGAUGUGUUUGGGGGUUUGAGGAGGCUGGAGUUCUUAAACUUGGCCUCAAAUUCGUUCAGUGGCACAUUGCCUGCUUCCCUGUCGAGCUGCCCAACGCUGAGGGUUAUCAACCUAAGGAACAACUCGCUGUCGGGGGAGAUUGCCAUUGACUUUAACUUACUGUCAAGGCUGAACAUUCUGGAUGUAGCGAUUAACAUGCUGAGUGGUGUUGUACCUCCCAGUCUCAUGUGGUGCACUGAGUUGAAGACGCUGAACCUUGGAUCGAACAAGCUUGAGGGGAAGAUACCAGAGAGUUAUAAGAAUUUGCGGUGCCUGUCACACCUCUCGCUUGUUGACAAUGGCUUCACCAACUUGUCAUCGGCAUUACAAGUCUUGCAAUACCUGCCCAAACUUACGAGCUUGGUGCUCACCAAGAAUUUACGUGGUGGUGAGACCUUGCCAAUGGAUGGCAUCAGUGGGUUCAAGAGCAUCCAGGUGCUUGUCUUGGCAAACUGUGCGCUCUCCGGAAUGAUUCCGCCUGGGCUGGAAAGCUUGGAGAGUCUCAGAGUUCUAGAUCUUUCAUGGAACAAGUUGAAUGGAAAGAUCCCGCUAUGGUUGGGCAAUCUGAAUAAUCUCUUCUUUGUCGAUCUGUCAAACAACUCAUUUAGUGGGGAGCUUCCUGAGAGCUUUACACAGAUAAAGAGUUUAAUUUCAAGUAAUAGUUCGAGUGAGCAUGCAUCAAUAGAGGACUUCCCGUUAUUAUUCAAGAAGAAUUCAGCUGACAAAGGUUUGCAGUACAAACAUGUCAGCAGCUUCCCGCCAUCGCUGAUCCUCUCCAGUAACUUGCUUGUUGGGCCUGUGUUGCGUGGGCUUGGCCAUCUUGUGAAUCUUCAUGUACUGGACUUGAGCUGGAACAACUUCUCAGGGGGCAUUCCUGAUGAGUUGUCAAACAUGUCGAGCUUGGAAGCGCUAAAUUUGUCCCAUAAUGAUCUCAGUGGGAGCAUACCAGCAUCUCUAACGAUGUUGACAUUUCUGUCCAAGUUUGAUGUCUCUUACAACAACUUGGCUGGAGAUAUACCAACAGGAGGGCAAUUUUCCACAUUCGCGAAUGCGGAUUUUGUGGGCAAUUCUGCACUCUGCAUUCUUCGGAAUGCCUCCUGCACUGAAGAGGCUCCAUUUGUGGAAACAGGAAAUGAACAGCAUCGUGGUAUGGAUACUACAAUGACUGUGAUGACAUACAUCCCCGGGGAAGUGGGGUUCGCUUUUGGGCUUUUGAUUGUCUGGAACGUACUGUUCUUCAUAAGGGCUUGGAGGGUUGCAUAUUUUCUGACGAUUGAUAGGUUCUUUGAUAUGAUUUAUGUCAUGACAGUGGUGAAGGUGAACAAGCUCAGAAGAGAAGGGGAGUAUAAAGUUCAUCCUUAA